This 464-nucleotide ribosomal RNA is filed under the name uncultured bacterium. Its description in RNAcentral is "partial 16S ribosomal RNA". It matches the Rfam family "Bacterial small subunit ribosomal RNA", at positions 339 to 795 of the family's 1533-position model. The record is from RNAcentral.
CUACGGGGGGCUGCAGUGGGGAAUAUUGCACAAUGGGCGCAAGCCUGAUGCAGCCAUGCCGCGUGUAUGAAGAAGGCCUUCGGGUUGUAAAGUACUUUCAGCGGGGAGGAAGGGAGUAAAGUUAAUACCUUUGCUCAUUGACGUUACCCGCAGAAGAAGCACCGGCUAACUCCGUGUCAGCAGCCGCGGUAAUACGGAGGGUGCAAGCGUUAAUCGGAAUUACUGGGCGUAAAGCGCACGCAGGCGGUUUGUUAAGUCAGAUGUGAAAUCCCCGGGCUCAACCUGGGGACUGCAUCUGAUACUGGCAAGCUUGAGUCUCGUAGAGGGGGGUAGAAUUCCAGGUGUAGCGGUGAAAUGCGUAGAGAUCUGGAGGAAUACCGGUGGCGAAGGCGGCCCCCUGGACGAAGACUGACGCUCAGGUGCGAAAGCGUGGGGAGCAAACAGGAUUAGAUACCCCCGUAGUC